Long non-coding RNA from Canis lupus familiaris (dog), 3202 nucleotides. RefSeq lists it as uncharacterized. The transcript is spliced from 4 exons. The record is from RefSeq and is a predicted model, not a curated record. Lineage: Eukaryota; Metazoa; Chordata; Mammalia; Carnivora; Canidae.
UCUGGUAGCUUUCCAAGCAGAAAGGUCGAGUAGGCAGUUGGAUUCAUGGGUUGAGUUCAGGAGAGGUGUUCUGGAGAACAGUGAGUCACUGGCAUUUAGAUGGCACUUAAAGCCAAUGGACUGUGUAAGGUCACCAAGGCUGAGGGGAGAGAGAAAAGAAGACAACCAAGGAAUGAGCUCCAGGAUCACUAAGGAGAAGAGAAGGAAGGGACUAGCAAAGAAAUUAAGAAGGAACUGCCUAGUGAGGUAAGAGGAAAGGGGGGGAAAAGUGUUUUCAUGAGAGCCAUGUGAGGAGAGACCGUGAUCAGCUGGGUCAAAUACUUCUGCCAAUAGGUUGGGUCUCCGGGAUAACCUACAAAUUUGCCCUUAAAGAAUGCGAUGUAGAAGCAUGAAGAAUAGUAGUUGACAAACUGGAAUAAGAACAUCUUCAUGGUCAGGCUGUUCUCAUAAUCAGUCUGGGUCCUUGGGAGUUCUGCAGUUAAAUAAAGGUCUACUGUCAGAGUUGAGACCUGCUGGAGUAGACAGCAGAGAGAGGCCGGCCUCUUGUCCUGCAGACCACAUGUGGGCAGCCAGAGGUGCGGGAGGAAAUCCUGGGCUGUGGCUGUGAGCAGCGUGAACGCGGCACUCCCCAGUGGUGAAGACAGCUGAAAUGGGGUCCAGGGAAGACACUGAUCAUGUACUAUAACCACCCAAGGUUUUAGCCUGCGCCUGGACCACAUCACUGCUGACUCACGCUGCUGUGUGUCACAGCCUGGGAGCCCCAGGACCUCGGGGGACUCUGCACGAGCCCAGACAGGAAUUUCCUGUUCUGGGUCUUUUGAUCUUUCUCCCUCUGGUGGGGAGCCCUGCAUUUAUGUUCUCCGGCAAACCACACACACCACGAGGCUCUUGUUGAUUAGAGAGACACAGUUAGGACUCUUACAUCAACAUGUAAUGAGAGAAGAGGGAAAGCUGCCUAGGAUCUUGGGAAUCAAGAACAGCUUGUCCUCUUAAUCAUGGUAUCAUUUCCUGUAAAGGACGUAUGCAUCACAUGAAGACAGCCACAUUCAGUGUUGGCGCUUAUAUCCAGCAAUGUCCAAGGACAAGGGGCACAUUCUAGCACAUGGUAGUGUUCCAGUUGCUGUAAGUCUGCUGCUGGAGAGCUGGGGCAUUUUACUGGGCCUUGAUUAUUCAACCCUCUUUACUCACAAAGCUAAGUAAGGAUGGCAGGUGAGCUUGCUCAGCCUUUAUUCCAACUUCCCAACUAAAAGACUAGGUUAAGGGACCCCUGGGUGGCUCAGCAGUUGAACAUCUGCCUUUGGCUCAGGGUGUGAUCCUGGGGUCCCAGAUCAAGUACCACAUUGGGCUCUCUGUGGGGAGCCUGCUUCUCCCUCUGCCUAUGUCUCUGUGUCUCUCAUGAAUAAAUAAAAUCUUUUUUUCUUUUUUUAAAGACUAGGCUAAAAAAAGAUAAUUUUUUUUCAGCCUCUCUUGAAGCUAGGGCCCCCUAAUGUGAUUUUAUAAAUGUCCAACAGAUGCAUUUGUGUGUCACUUAAAUCAGAACCUGAGGUGAGUGGUGGCAGAGGUGGUUGCAGGAGUUGCAUUAUUUUGCUGGUGUGGAUGGUGGUGGGAGCAGUAUAGUUCUGGAACUGGCAAUAGCUGUUUCCUGAUUUCCAAGUGUAGCUGGUUAGGGCACCGCCCUUCCUGAUUCCCCAGCUCUCCAUAAGCCAAGGGCUUGGUGUUUUCCUGGAAAUAACUAGGCCCAGCCCAGAACUCAAAGGUGAAAAUUUAAAAUGCAGCCAUGCAGCCAAGAGCCUGGAGCCAGGGAGGAUCCAGAAGUAGGUAAGAAGUAACAAGGAAUAAGGAGAAGUGGAUAUGUUAAGGACUGGCACUUUAGCCUUGGGUUGAUGUUUAGGAUUUGAGUGUAUGAAUGGGUGGCCUGGCUUGGCCUAAAAGGGUGGACAUUAUUCAGGCAAGUACAUGAUUUUUACUACAUUCAUUAAAAAAGGUUUUCAACCCUAAACUUUUAGAGUUCCUAGGGAGUAGAAAAAUACUAGGAAUACUCUAAAUACUCUAACAGAUCUGGGCACACAAGAGAUGCUACAAGAAUAUGAAUGGUCGUGAUAUAAAAGACUUCACAUGAUCCUCCUGCCUCUUCAGCCUGUGAUUUCUGAUUUUCUGUAACAAGGUUCACAGCAGUGGUUCUCAUAAGGCAGACAUAACAGGAAAGGCAAUGAAUAUAAGACACUUCAAAUACAGACUUCAUCAUACAUACAUAUCCUUAAAGAUACACAUAUGGUGCUUCAAGCAGUGUUGAAAUGUUUUCUGCAUUCUAAAAUCUGAUGACAUCAAAUCAGCUGAAAAUGCUUAAGUCAGUUCCAUAAACACGAUGUAGUUAAUGAUCAUAGAAAGCAAGGUUAGCUAGGAAAUGGAAGGUUUGUCUUUCCAAUACCAAAAUUAAUUUAUAUUUUUGCCUUAUUUAAAAUGUAUUUCGGGGUGCCUGGAUGGCCUCUGACACCUGAUUUUGAUUUAGGUUGUGAUCUCAGGUUUGUGGGAUUGAGCCCUGGGUCUGACUCCCCACUCAGCAUAGAGUCUCUGCUUGUCCCUCUCCCUCUGCUUCUCCCCACCUGCUUGUGCUCUCUCUCUCUAAAGUGAAUAAAUACAAUCCUAAAACAAAUGUAUUUCUAAAUUAGGACGUGUUAGAAUUUUAUACAUUAUAAAUCAGUGCUGAGACAAAGGUUAGGAGAAUAGAUAGAAGUGACCACCACCCAUGUGUUUGGUACUUGGGCCCUUACUGGGGGGGAGAAAUGAAAUGACAUAUUUUACGAUAGAGGAGUACAGAGGAUUUUAAUCCAAGAAUUUGAUCUUUAUUCUUCUGUGUGUCAAAUAUUAGCUAGUGUUUGGUAUCUAGCAAGAACAUAGCUAAAUGUCUGAAGGACAAUAACUUUGUAGAUAAGUGUGACCAUCUUAUAGUUCGCUUUAUCCAGGAAUGGCAACUAAACUCUAAAAAGUGUCCAGAACAGCUGGAUCAUCUGUUCUGUGAUCUAUCUGGUAACCUCAAAUAAGCACAACCACUGCAAAAGAGAAACAAUCUCAAGGACACCUAAAAAGAACCGUGAGCUGCAUGUGUUCAUGUGCUGUCUUCUCAAGAAUAAGAGACUUGAGUCACUUUCUUCCCCCACCUAUCUAUGGCCUCAGCUUUAUUUCCUGCUUGACCUACACAAUA